GACAGAGGCCUCAAGCGUUAGGCGGAAUCACUGGGCUUAAAGCGUGUGUAGGCGGACUUCUAAGUGCCUUGUGAAAUCCCACGGCUCAACCGUGGAACUGCUGGGCAUACUGGGAGUCUUGGGCCAUUCAGGGGCAACUGGAACAAGCGGUGGAGCGGUGAAAUGCGUAGAUAUCGUAAGGAAGACCAGUGGCGAAGGCGGGUCUCGGGACAGUUCCUGACGCUGAGGCACGAAGGUCAGGGGAGCAAACGGG
This 253-nucleotide ribosomal RNA is filed under the name uncultured bacterium. RNAcentral describes it as "partial 16S ribosomal RNA". It matches the Rfam family "Bacterial small subunit ribosomal RNA", at positions 524 to 776 of the family's 1533-position model. The record is from RNAcentral.